CGGGUGAGUAACACGUGGAUAACCUACCUAUAAGACUGGGAUAACUUCGGGAAACCGGAGCUAAUACCGGAUAAUAUUUUGAACCGCAUGGUUCAAAAGUGAAAGACGGUCUUGCUGUCACCUAUAGAUGGAUCCGCGCUGCAUUAGCUAGUUGGUAAGGUAACGGCUUACCAAGGCAACGAUGCAUAGCCGACCUGAGAGGGUGAUCGGCCACACUGGAACUGAGACACGGUCCAG
RNAcentral lists this ribosomal RNA (237 nucleotides) under uncultured Staphylococcus sp. RNAcentral's name for it is "partial 16S ribosomal RNA". It matches the Rfam family "Bacterial small subunit ribosomal RNA", at positions 103 to 334 of the family's 1533-position model. Lineage: Bacteria; Bacillati; Bacillota; Bacilli; Caryophanales; Staphylococcaceae. The record is from RNAcentral.